CUGGGCCUCUGGCUCUCUGUGCCCUGGCCCAGGCAUUGUAACUGGGAUGUGACUCUGCCUGAGCCUGAGCCAAGCCCGGCCCCGGCCCCUGCAGCCACUGAGCAGCGGGUCACAAGUGGCCUCCCCACCCUGCUCUGCCGGCACAGGGUGAAUCUGUCUCAUGGAGCCCACCUCCCCUGCCUCAGUUUCCCCAGGGAUAAACAGCUCCCAGCGAGAGCCAGGAUCUCACACUCUCCGAACAUCCCGUUAGCACCAAGGGACCCAAGUGCCGAAAUCAGCUUUGAUUCCAAAGGCUCUGCAGGGCCUGGGCAUAGGCACCAACAAAAGGCCGGACGUGAACAAGGCCUGAGUGUGUCUGUGACACGACAACCCGGCUCUGGGCUCCCCGUGCAAACCUGAAUCUCCCCCUCUCCUCCCCCAGACACUCUGCCGGCCGCACUGGAGUCUCAAAGUGGGGAACCCCGAGGAGCAUACAGACCAGCCAACGUGACUCUGGAUCCAGCCACGGCGCAUCCCCAGUUUGUCCUGUCGGAGGAUGGGAAAUAUGUGAGAUGGACACACACAUGGCAGCCAUGGCCCGACACCCCGGAGAGAUUUGACUGUUGGCCCUGUGUGCUCGGCCGUGAGGGCUUCACUUCAGGGAGACAUUACUGGGAGGUGGAGGUGUGGGGUAGGCGAUGGGCUGUGGGAGUGGCCAGAGAGUCUGUGAGCAGGAAGGGAGGGAUCAGCCUGAGACCCAAGGGCGGGAUCUGGGCUGUGCAGUGUUGGUGGGAUCAGUUCCGGGCUCUCAUUGACCCGGAGACCCCCCUGCCCCAGAGCCCCCCCAACAGGAUCCGGGUUUGUCUGGACUGUGACUGGGGGCAGGUGACAUUUAUCGAUGCUGGAACCGAGGCCCCGAUCUUCACUUUCCCGCCGGGCUCCCUCCCUGGGGAGAGAAUCCGACCCUGGAUCUGGGUGGGGGACA
Pelodiscus sinensis (Chinese soft-shelled turtle) is the source of this 964-nucleotide non-coding RNA. The record is from RefSeq and is a predicted model, not a curated record. Lineage: Eukaryota; Metazoa; Chordata; Testudines; Trionychidae.